CCUCCAAGCCAUUCUCGGGAUAGAUUCCUAAUCUAGCAGUCACAUGAAGGCAAUAUAUGAACCUAAACGAAUGUAUCAACUUCGAAUGGAGUCAAGUUAGCAGUUUGAAAACUGGCAUCCUAUCUUUAGCAUUUUAUGAUUCCAGAAAAAAUGAAAGUAUUUUUAAUAUUCAAGAUUACUUCUGAUACAUUUUUGAUAAGAUUUGCGAGUGACUGCAGAAUGAGGUUAGAGAGAACAGAAAGCAUGGGAACAGAAGUUGACAAAGUUUAUGAAAAAUUUUAAUGGAUAUGGGGUCUUUGCAGCAAAGUUAUUGGUUUCUUGGCAGAAAGCAUAUUGGCAGCUGUGAAACCAUGAAGCAAACUUCCCUGUGUUUAAGGAUAAAAUGUUAACACGAUAUACGAGCAGAAAUACAUUUUUCCCCGUUCCUCUAUUUGAAAACAAAAAAUGUGAAGAUCUUGGCUUUAAAGCAGGAUUCUCAAGCUCUUAGGUAUUGAGUGGACUGAAACAAGACAAGGCCAGUGUUUUACCAUGAGAGUGGCUGGAUAAAAAGCACCAUUGGGGAGCAGCCUCUGGAAGUCCUGCUAGACAAAUAUCUCCUUUUCUCCACUGCACGUGAAGGGAAUUUUCUUCCUCCAAGCCCCUACGUUGGAAACGUUGAUGCUUUUAAGGGGAGAUCUCACAUCUUCUAACUUCCUUCAGGUAAACAAAUCCUCUCGGUACAGAAAGGAAAAAUACCGAUAGUGGGAGGAAAAGAAAACACCAACAACGCACCACACAGCUGUUUUAUGCUUUAUUCCUGGGAAACGACUUAGCAAAUACCACAAAGCUUUAUUUAACCCGAGACGUUUCGGCGUACUUCCACCUCACCUGCCUGAAAUCUGCCAUCUCACUGCUACGAAAGAAAGACGCAGCUUUCUGGUACCGAUUUGUGCUUCGAGACCGAUCCGUGCGGAUGGUGCAGCUCGCCAAGGCGGCUAUACUUAGCGCGAGCGGCGAUGAAUCACCGCCGGCCCCGGGAGGCGAGCGGCGUUGAGGAUUGACUGCGGCACAUUAGGUUAACGGUGUCUCCACAACCCAACACCCACACUUUGACAUCACGCCGCCGACGAUAGGCAUCGCUGACGCAAGCGCUGCCAGGCUGGAAUACAAAGGCCAGGGCAGCUGCAGCAAGCUGACGUCGCGGCACGGCCGGCCACGCUGUGCUCAAUCAAUAGUCCCAGAUGCCACCAAGAGUUGUGCCGCUCUCGCUCUGACAUAACGGCCAAGGCUCCGAAGUUUUAUUUCGGGCUCCCAGCAGCUAGAUAAUGACAAGAAUAAAGCCGGUUAUCGACAACAAA
This is a long non-coding RNA of Anas platyrhynchos (mallard), 1337 nucleotides long. RefSeq lists it as uncharacterized. The record is from RefSeq and is a predicted model, not a curated record. NCBI's taxonomy places the organism in Eukaryota, Metazoa, Chordata, Aves, Anseriformes, Anatidae.